UCACCUGUUUUUCAAAAACAUUUCUGGGAGGAAAAUGUUUUUAGUUUAACCUGCUCAAUGCUUUAGUGAAUAGCUGCAGUAUUUUGACUGUACAAAGGUAGCAUAAUCAUUAGUCUUUUGAUUGGGGGCUUGUAUGAAUGGUUGAACAGAAUAUUAACUUUUUUAGUUAUAUGAAAUUUUAAUUUACAGUUUAUGUAAAAAUACAUAGGUUUUUGGGAGGGACGAUAAGACCCUAUAGAAUUUUAAAGUAGGUAUGGAAAUUUCUAUUUUUUUGUUGGGGUGAUAGUAAAUAAACUUUUACAUAAUUUUCAUUGAUGGAUGGUUAAAGGAUCCUAAAAUUUUAGAAAAAAAGAUAAAAUUACCUUAGGGGUAACAGCAUAAUUUUUUUUAAAAGAUCUUAUUAAUAAAAAAGAUUAUGACCUCGAUGUUGAAUUAAAAUAAAAUUUUGGUGUAGAAGCUUAAUUUUUAGUCUGUUCGACUGUGGAUUUUACAUGAUUUGAGUCAAAAUCGACGA
RNAcentral lists this ribosomal RNA (514 nucleotides) under Cacopsylla heterogena. Its description in RNAcentral is "partial 16S ribosomal RNA". It matches the Rfam family "Bacterial large subunit ribosomal RNA", at positions 1796 to 2622 of the family's 2925-position model. Lineage: Eukaryota; Metazoa; Arthropoda; Insecta; Hemiptera; Psyllidae. The record is from RNAcentral.